GUGUCAGCCGCCGCGGUAAUACAGAGGGUGCGAGCGUUGUCCGGAAUCACUGGGCGUAAAGGGCGCGUAGGUGGCUUGGUAAGCGUGUGGUGAAAGUCCGGGGCUCAACCCCGGAUCUGCCGUGCGAACUGCUGAGCUCGAGCGAUGUAGAGGCAGGUGGAAUUUCGGGUGUAGCGGUGGAAUGCGUAGAUAUCCGAAAGAACACCAGUGGCGAAGGCGGCCUGCUGGGCAUCAGCUGACACUGAGGCGCGACAGCGUGGGGAGCAAACAGGAUUAGAAACCCCGGUAGUCC
RNAcentral lists this ribosomal RNA (292 nucleotides) under uncultured bacterium. RNAcentral's name for it is "partial 16S ribosomal RNA". It matches the Rfam family "Bacterial small subunit ribosomal RNA", at positions 505 to 796 of the family's 1533-position model. The record is from RNAcentral.